CUGGCUCAGGAUGAACGCUGGCGGCGUGCCUAACACAUGCAAGUCGAGCGAUUCUCUUCGGAGAAGAGCGGCGGACGGGUGAGUAACGCGUGGGUAACCUGCCCUGUACACACGGAUAACAUACCGAAAGGUAUGCUAAUA
RNAcentral lists this ribosomal RNA (141 nucleotides) under Intestinibacter bartlettii DSM 16795. Its description in RNAcentral is "partial 16S rRNA. Bacterial SSU". It matches the Rfam family "Bacterial small subunit ribosomal RNA", at positions 19 to 168 of the family's 1533-position model. The record is from RNAcentral. Lineage: Bacteria; Bacillati; Bacillota; Clostridia; Peptostreptococcales; Peptostreptococcaceae.